UACGGAGGGUGCAAGCGUUGUUCGGAAUUACUGGGCGUAAAGCGCGUGUAGGCGGCGCUGUAAGUCGGAUGUGAAAGCCCUCGGCUUAACCGAGGAAGUGCAUCCGAUACUGCAGUGCUUGAGUACCGGAGGGGGUGGCGGAAUUCCUGGUGUAGAGGUGAAAUUCGUAGAUAUCAGGAGGAACACCUGUGGCGAAGGCGGCCACCUGGACGGUAACUGACGCUGAGACGCGAAAGCGUGGGUAGCAAACAGG
This 253-nucleotide unclassified non-coding RNA is filed under the name uncultured Myxococcales bacterium. RNAcentral describes it as "contains 16S-23S intergenic spacer region". It matches the Rfam family "Bacterial small subunit ribosomal RNA", at positions 524 to 776 of the family's 1533-position model. Lineage: Bacteria; Pseudomonadati; Myxococcota; Myxococcia; Myxococcales. The record is from RNAcentral.